RNAcentral lists this ribosomal RNA (760 nucleotides) under uncultured organism. RNAcentral's name for it is "bacterial SSU rRNA". It matches the Rfam family "Bacterial small subunit ribosomal RNA", at positions 47 to 798 of the family's 1533-position model. The record is from RNAcentral.
CUUAACACAUGCAAGUCGAGGGGUAACGACUCCGUCUUCGGAUGGAGGUCGACGACCGGCGCACGGGUGAGUAACGCGUAUGCAACCUACCUUUUACAGGAGGAUAGCCCAGAGAAAUUUGGAUUAAUACUCCAUAGUACUAAUGAAUCACCUGGUUUAUUAGUUAAAACUCCGGUGGUAAAAGAUGGGCAUGCGUGUCAUUAGCUAGUUGGUAAGGUAACGGCUUACCAAGGCGAAGAUGACUAGGGGUUCUGAGAGGAAGAUCCCCCACACUGGUACUGAGACACGGACCAGACUCCUACGGGAGGCAGCAGUGAGGAAUAUUGGUCAAUGGGUGAGAGCCUGAACCAGCCAUGUCGCGUGAAGGAAGACUGCCCUAUGGGUUGUAAACUUCUUUUCUGCAGGAAGAAAUCACUCUACGUGUAGGGUGUUGCCGGUACUGCAGGAACAAGCAUCGGCUAACUCCGUGCCAGCAGCCGCGGUAAUACGGAGGAUGCAAGCGUUAUCCGGAUUUAUUGGGUUUAAAGGGUGCGUAGGCGGGCUUGUAAGUCAGUGGUGAAAUGCUGUGGCUUAACCAUAGAAUUGCCAUUGAAACUGCAAGUCUUGAGUACAGUUGAGGUGGGCGGAAUGAGUAAUGUAGCGGUGAAAUGCAUAGAUAUUACUCAGAACUCCGAUUGCGUAGGCAGCUUGCUAAACUGUAACUGACGCUGAUGCACGAAAGCGUGGGGAGCGAACAGGAUUAGAUACCCUGGUAGUCCAC